UACAGAGGUCCCAAGCGUUGUUCGGAUUUACUGGGCGUAAAGGGUGCGUAGGUGGCGAGGUAAGUUUGAUGUGAAAUCUCCGAGCUCAACUCGGAAAUGGCAUUGAAUACUAUCCCGCUUGAGGGUCGGAGGGGAGACUGGAAUUCUCGGUGUAGCAGUGAAAUGCGUAGAUAUCGAGAGGAACACCAGUGGCGAAGGCGGAUCUCUGGGCCUUACCUGACGCUGAGGAGCGAAAGCAUGGGGAGCAAACAGG
RNAcentral lists this ribosomal RNA (253 nucleotides) under uncultured bacterium. Its description in RNAcentral is "partial 16S ribosomal RNA". It matches the Rfam family "Bacterial small subunit ribosomal RNA", at positions 524 to 776 of the family's 1533-position model. The record is from RNAcentral.